AAGUGCACAACCCGCCCCAGCUCUACAUACAUUCUAUGUUCGGACGUAUCUAGAAGUCUUAACAUGAUAAGAUGCUUGCUUUAAUGAGUUUUGUGUAAUAAAUGUUUAUGUUUAUGAUGACUUACAUGUUUGUGUGUGUAUGGACGUUCUUGGAAAUGCUAGAUUGAAUUUAAAUGAUUUGUAUGUUUGUUUGAGACCUAGCUCACCCUUGCAUUUGUAUGUGUUGUAUGUGUUUGCCUUCCUCCUUGCAAUGAUCAUCCAAUCCUUUGGAUGUGGGCAGUAGGUGAUGAUGUUCCAUUGGAGCAAGCGUUGGAGACUGAGGAAGACCCAGCCCCUGAUGCUUAGGA
This 347-nucleotide long non-coding RNA is filed under the name Vigna radiata. RNAcentral's name for it is "long non-coding RNA (VRAD_LNC005173)". The record is from RNAcentral. Lineage: Eukaryota; Viridiplantae; Streptophyta; Magnoliopsida; Fabales; Fabaceae.